UACAGAGGUCCCAAGCGUUGUUCGGAUUUACUGGGCGUAAAGGGUGCGUAGGCGGUCAGGUAAGUCUGAUGUGAAAUCUCUGGGCUUAACCCAGAAAUGGCAUUGGAUACUAUUUGGCUUGAGAGUUGGAGGGGGGACUGGAAUUCUUGGUGUAGCAGUGAAAUGCGUAGAUAUCAAGAGGAACACCAGUGGCGAAGGCGAGUCCCUGGACAACUUCUGACGCUGAGGCACGAAAGCUAGGGGAGCAAACAGG
RNAcentral lists this ribosomal RNA (253 nucleotides) under uncultured bacterium. RNAcentral describes it as "partial 16S ribosomal RNA". It matches the Rfam family "Bacterial small subunit ribosomal RNA", at positions 524 to 776 of the family's 1533-position model. The record is from RNAcentral.